RNAcentral lists this ribosomal RNA (253 nucleotides) under uncultured bacterium. Its description in RNAcentral is "partial 16S ribosomal RNA". It matches the Rfam family "Bacterial small subunit ribosomal RNA", at positions 524 to 776 of the family's 1533-position model. The record is from RNAcentral.
UACGUAGAUGGCAAGCGUUGUCCGGAUUUACUGGGCGUAAAGAGCGCGCAGGCGGUCGUUCAAGUCGCGUGUGGAAGCCCCCGGCUCAACUGGGGAGGGUCACGCGAUACUGAUCGACUCGAAGGCAGGAGAGGGAAGUGGAAUUCCCGGUGUAGUGGUGAAAUGCGUAGAUAUCGGGAGGAACACCAGUGGCGUAGGCGACUUUUUGGCCUGUUCUUGACGCUGAGGCGCGAAAGCUAGGGGAGCAAACGGG